UGUAUGAACAAGUUGAAGAGUGACUAGGGACAGCAGACGACACGUCCCCCCUAGCGAGGCAGCGAGGAACCAAUACGUAAACACCACAUUUCACAUCUGAAAAAUAAUUUUCACACAUCGCGAUCACUUUAUCUGCCACACCACUGCAGGCUUUGGGAGGCUUCUGGUAAUCAUUAAUGAUGUUCAACGUUACUUAAAGAAGAGCCUCUCCCAAGAUGUCUGAUUCUGAGACUGAGCUUCCCUCUUGCACAAGUAAAGACUUGGGGGAGAGUGUGCGAAGCACCAAGAAGGAGAAGCAAAGGGCCAGGAAAAGGUGGAAGAUGAUCUCAAGCAGUUCAGAGAGAGAAGAGGAAGAGGAGGAGGAG
Portunus trituberculatus (swimming crab) is the source of this 365-nucleotide long non-coding RNA. RefSeq lists it as uncharacterized. The record is from RefSeq and is a predicted model, not a curated record. The transcript has 2 exons. Lineage: Eukaryota; Metazoa; Arthropoda; Malacostraca; Decapoda; Portunidae.